ACCUGCUAUAGUGUUUCCCUUCAUCUCUGUUUUUUCCUGACUCUCUCUAGGAUACGUUCUUCCUUUGCCUUUUUCAACUGAUGCUACUGAUCAUGGUGACCGCAGAAUGAGUGGUAGUUUCUAAGGAGUGAUUCCUGGACAAUAUUUUACAAUUGCUGUUGUUGUUUGGCCGCCCUUUGUGUCCAGCUCUUUGCAACCCCAUGGACUGCAGCACACCAGGGCUCCCUGUCCCUCACCAUCUCCUGCCGAAAUUUGCCAAGUUCAUG
RNAcentral lists this long non-coding RNA (266 nucleotides) under Bos indicus x Bos taurus (hybrid cattle). RNAcentral's name for it is "lncRNA (ENSBIXG00000026653.1)". Lineage: Eukaryota; Metazoa; Chordata; Mammalia; Artiodactyla; Bovidae. The record is from RNAcentral.